This is a small nuclear RNA of Microtus ochrogaster (prairie vole), 104 nucleotides long. NCBI's taxonomy places the organism in Eukaryota, Metazoa, Chordata, Mammalia, Rodentia, Cricetidae. The record is from RefSeq and is a predicted model, not a curated record.
GUGCUCAGGUCAGUGGCACAUAUACUAAAAUUGGAAUGACACAGAGAUAGGCACGGCCCCCGAGCAAGGAUGACACACAAAUUUGUGAAGGGUCUAUAUUUUUA